AAUAUAACCGACAACCGCCGGAAUUUGUAUUCGAGACGGUCGCCGACAAUAACAUUACAAUUUACAAUAGCAAUAAUAAUAACAACGAUAAAACGGCCCGAAGUUUUGCGUAUGGUACCCCGAUCAACAGGUCAUGAUAAGUGAAAGAAAAAAAUUCCCCGACGACAACGUAGCCCGGGCACAGUGUGACCGGCGCGCGCACCGAUUCGGAUGUGUGGGCCGAGCCGGUUUGUACUUUGUACACGACGGACGGUGGCUGAGUAUCCAGACACGAUAUUAUGGGUAAACUCUGCCUAUUCAAUAUUCGUUAUAAUAUCGGGUAUUCAGGUAUUCUGGUAGCCGGUAGGUUAGGUGUGAUGUUAUUUUAUUUCCAUUUUUUGUGUUUCCCAUCGUACAAUUGUGUAAUUCGUUUAAAUACUUAAUACUUUAUUAUGUAAUUAUAAUAUAGGUAAUAGUAUCUGCUUAUA
Rhopalosiphum padi (bird cherry-oat aphid) is the source of this 467-nucleotide long non-coding RNA. RefSeq lists it as uncharacterized. NCBI's taxonomy places the organism in Eukaryota, Metazoa, Arthropoda, Insecta, Hemiptera, Aphididae. The record is from RefSeq and is a predicted model, not a curated record. The transcript has 2 exons.